GGACGAACGCUGGCGGCGUGCCUAAUACAUGCAAGUCGAGCGAGCAGAACCAGCAGAUUUACUUCGGUAAUGACGCUGGGGACGCGAGCGGCGGAUGGGUGAGUAACACGUGGGGAACCUGCCCCAUAGUCUGGGAUACCACUUGGAAACAGGUGCUAAUACCGGAUAAGAAAGCAGAUCGCAUGAUCAGCUUAUAAAAGGCGGCGUAAGCUGUCGCUAUGGGAUGGCCCCGCGGUGCAUUAGCUAGUUGGUAAGGUAACGGCUUACCAAGGCGAUGAUGCAUAGCCGAGUUGAGAGACUGAUCGGCCACAUUGGGACUGAGAUACGGCCCAGACUCCUACGGGAGGCAGCAGUCGGGAAUAUUGCGCAAUGGAGGAAACUCUGACGCAGUGACGCCGCGUAUGGGAAGAAGGUUUUCGGAUUGUAAACCAUUUUAGACAGGGAAGAAAAAAGACAGUACCUGUAAAAUAAGCUCCGGCUACUACGUGCCAGCAGCCGCGGUAAUUC
This 507-nucleotide ribosomal RNA is filed under the name uncultured bacterium. RNAcentral describes it as "bacterial SSU rRNA". It matches the Rfam family "Bacterial small subunit ribosomal RNA", at positions 27 to 526 of the family's 1533-position model. The record is from RNAcentral.